This 56-nucleotide transfer RNA is filed under the name Amphiascoides atopus. Its description in RNAcentral is "tRNA-Ser". Lineage: Eukaryota; Metazoa; Arthropoda; Copepoda; Harpacticoida; Miraciidae. The record is from RNAcentral.
UAAGUUUAAAUAUAAGUGUCUAUUUUGAAAAUAGAAAAAGGGAUUGCCCAAUUUAC